RNAcentral lists this ribosomal RNA (422 nucleotides) under unidentified nematode Sourhope farm. RNAcentral describes it as "SSU rRNA". It matches the Rfam family "Eukaryotic small subunit ribosomal RNA", at positions 58 to 476 of the family's 1831-position model. The record is from RNAcentral. Lineage: Eukaryota; Metazoa; Nematoda.
UCUAAGUAUAACCUGCCAGACAGGGAAACUGCGUACGGCUCAUUACACCAGCCGUAAUUUACUUGACCUUGACAACCUACUUGGAUAACUGUGGUAAUUCUAGAGCUAAUACAUGCACCAAAGCUCCGAUCCUCGCGGAGAGGAGCGCAUUUGUUCGCCACAAAACCAAGCGCCCAUCUGGGCGUCCAGUGCUGAACCAGAACAACUCAGCUGAUCGCACGGUCUUGUACCGGCGACGUGUCUUUCAAGUGUCUGCCUUAUCAACUUUCGAUGGUAGUGUACCUGACUACCAUGGUUGUGACGGGUAACGGAGGAUAAGGGUUCGACUCCGGAGAAGGGGCCUGAGAAAUGGCCACUACGUCUAAGGAUGGCAGCAGGCGCGCAAAUUACCCACUCUCAACGCGAGGAGGUAGUGACGAGAA